Arabidopsis thaliana (thale cress) is the source of this 107-nucleotide small nucleolar RNA. It matches the Rfam family "Plant small nucleolar RNA R71". Rfam says of the family: R71 is a member of the C/D box family of snoRNAs containing the C (UGAUGA) and D (CUGA) box motifs. Multiple nearly identical copies of this snoRNA have been identified in Arabidopsis, and it is thought to function as a 2'-O-ribose methylation guide for 18S ribosomal RNA. The record is from Rfam. NCBI's taxonomy places the organism in Eukaryota, Viridiplantae, Streptophyta, Magnoliopsida, Brassicales, Brassicaceae.
AAUCCAUGGUAUGGACACUGAGUAGUGAUGCAUUUAAAUCUCUGUCAUGCCUCACGACAGGAUUCAAAGUUCUUCUGGUGGACGCCUGCUAUUUCAUUUAUCAGUCU